CCUACGGGUGGCAGCAGUGGGGAAUAUUGGACAAUGGGGGAAACCCUGAUCCAGCGACGCCGCGUGAGUGAAGAAGUAUUUCGGUACGUAAAGCUCUAUCAGCAGGAAAGAAAAUGACGGUACCUGACUAAGAAGCCCCGGCUAACUACGUGCCAGCAGCCGUGGCUAUAAGUAGGGGGCAAGCGUUAUCCGGAUUUACUGGGCGUAAAGGGAGCGCAGACGGUUGUGCAAGUCUGGAGUGAAAGGCGGGGGCCCAACCCCCGGACUGCUCUGGAAACUGUAAAGCUGGAGUGCAGGAGAGGUAAGCGGAAUUCCUAGUGUAGCGGUGAAAUGCGUAGAUAUUAGGAGGAACACCGAUUGCGAAGGCAGCAUACCGGCGCCCAACUGACGCUGAAGCACGAAAGCGUGGGUAUCGAACAGGAUUAGAUACCCUAGUAGUC
This 440-nucleotide ribosomal RNA is filed under the name uncultured bacterium. RNAcentral describes it as "partial 16S ribosomal RNA". It matches the Rfam family "Bacterial small subunit ribosomal RNA", at positions 338 to 795 of the family's 1533-position model. The record is from RNAcentral.